This is a long non-coding RNA of Myotis lucifugus (little brown bat), 697 nucleotides long. RefSeq lists it as uncharacterized. The record is from RefSeq and is a predicted model, not a curated record. NCBI's taxonomy places the organism in Eukaryota, Metazoa, Chordata, Mammalia, Chiroptera, Vespertilionidae. The transcript is spliced from 2 exons.
AAGGAAGACUGAUAAAGGUUGACUCCCCGGUAUUUGUCCUGCACCGUUCCCUGCAGUGGUUUUUCGCCUCAGUUCCCCCUCAGCCCCUUCCUACUCCCCCACCCCCCCGUCUGAAGACUAGAAAAAAGCACUAAGAAAAAAAUAUAAAUAGUAGUAACUAAUAUUUCCACCAUCCAGAAAAUGUUCACUUUUGCUUCAAGUCACAAUCCUCCAGAAUUUCUUAGAAGAACUAACUUCAAAUCUCUAGCAUUAAGGCGCGCCCUUAAUGGUUUGGGGGAUUCCCUUGUAGAUUGUGUGAGCUUCCAAAAACAAAGCAAACAAAAGACAAAAAAGACUUGGCUCUCUGUUCUUACUGUCUGCAUGAACACCCACCCACUGUUUCCUUUUCACAGUGAACAGGGUCUAAUAUUCAUCACAUUACAAACUACAGCUCUUCAAUUAAGUGAUUCAAUCACUCUGUUUUGGUCAUUAUGCAAAAUUGACAGAAAAUUUUCCUCUUGCUCGCAGAAAUUGCUGAUAUUCCUCUGGGAGAACUAAAUAAAGGUACGGUACUAAGAGGAAUGUUAAGAAACCUGACAAAUGAGUACAACAGACAGCAAAAGUCAGCACAUGUUCAAAGGAAAGUACUGCAAGCUGUCACUGUAUUUUCAAAAAUUCCCUUCUCGGAUGAUUAAUAAAAUGCUCAUGUACUUUCUAA